This 253-nucleotide ribosomal RNA is filed under the name uncultured bacterium. Its description in RNAcentral is "partial 16S ribosomal RNA". It matches the Rfam family "Bacterial small subunit ribosomal RNA", at positions 524 to 776 of the family's 1533-position model. The record is from RNAcentral.
UACGUAGGGGGCUAGCGUUGUCCGGAAUCAUUGGGCGUAAAGAGCGUGUAGGCGGCCAUGUAGGUCCGGUGUGAAAACUCGAGGCUUAACCUCGAGAUGUCAUCGGAAACCAUUUGGCUAGAGUCCGGAAGAGGAGAGUGGAAUUCCUGGUGUAGCGGUGAAAUGCGUAGAUAUCAGGAGGAAUACCGAUGGCGAAGGCAGGUCUCUGGGCUGACACUGACGCUCAUGCACGAAAGCGUGGGGAGCAAACAGG